Molecule: long non-coding RNA, 522 nt
Organism: Caretta caretta (loggerhead turtle)
Lineage: Eukaryota; Metazoa; Chordata; Testudines; Cheloniidae
Source: RefSeq, a predicted model, not a curated record
CACUGAUUUAAGUGGUGACACUCCAGAUUAUCACCAGUGUGAAAACAGAAGCAAUUGUUAAGCAUCCAGUCAGUGAAGCGAUUCUCACAAAAAAUAAGGAUCACCCAGACCGGGAACUCAACUUGAGCCAAAUGCCUUUAACCAGGGAAGAGUGGGAGGAGCAGCGCAAAGAGGCUUCCAGUCAUGAGAAAACCCUGCUUACCACCUAGAUGUCUGCUGGAACUAACAAGGACUUGUACCAAGGGAAAGGAUUGGACCCAGACUUGGAAGGAGUUUAGUCUGUGAAAGAAGCUUAUUGGAACAUCUCUGAGGCAUAUACAAAACAAGAAUUAUGCACUUACACCCUGAAGAAAAUGACCUGGUACUGGUGCAGCAUGAAGGAGUGGAGAGCACAGUCAAUCAAAAGACAGACAAACUUGACAUUUACAGAGCAUACCAUAUGUUGUUGAACUGUCAUGCGUUGUUGUAUAUUUGAUGAAGUUGGGUCCUUUUAUAUAUCAAUUCCACAUUGCAAAUGUUGCU